GCCAGCGUGGUGUAAUGGUUUCAGCAUUGGACUACAACUCUGGGAGACCAGGGUUAAAAUCCCUGCUUGAGCA
RNAcentral lists this transfer RNA (73 nucleotides) under Phrynosoma platyrhinos (Desert horned lizard). Its description in RNAcentral is "tRNA-OTHER". The record is from RNAcentral. Lineage: Eukaryota; Metazoa; Chordata; Lepidosauria; Squamata; Phrynosomatidae.